Molecule: long non-coding RNA, 2795 nt
Organism: Nematostella vectensis (starlet sea anemone)
Lineage: Eukaryota; Metazoa; Cnidaria; Anthozoa; Actiniaria; Edwardsiidae
Exons: 4
Source: RefSeq, a predicted model, not a curated record
AAUGUCUCCUCUCUAUUGUCAAUAUCAUGUAGAGAGUAUUGUUUACAGGCAGGUUGGUAAAUGUCUCCUCUCUAUUGUCAGUAUCAUGUAGAGUAUUGUUUACAGGCAGGUUGGUAAAUGUCUCCUCUCUAUUGUCAGUAUCAUGUAGAGAGUAUUGUUUACAGGCAGGUUGGUAAAUGUCUCCUCUCUAUUGUCAGUAUCAUGUAGAGAGUAUUGUUUACAGGCAGGUUGGUAAAUGUCUCCUCUCUAUUGUCAGUAUCAUGUAGAGUAUUGUUUACAGGCAGGUUGGUAAAUGUCUCCUCUCUAUUGUCAGUAUCAUGUAGAGUAUUGUUUACAGGCAGGUUGGUAAAUGUCUCCUCUCUAUUGUUAGUAUCAUGUAGAGUAUUGUUUACAGGCAGGUUGGUAAAUGUCUCCUCUCUAUUGUCAGUAUCAUGUAGAGUAUUGUUUACAGGCAGGUUGGUAAAUGUCUUCUCUCUAUUAUCAGUAUCAUGUAGAGUAUUGUUUACAGGCAGGUUGGUAAAUGUCUCCUCUCUAUUGUCAGUAUCAUGUAUUGUUUACAGGCAGGUUGGUAAAUGUCUCCUCUCUAUUGUCAGUAUCAUGUAGAGAGUAUUGUUUACAGGCAGGUUGGUAAAUGUCUUCUCUCUAUUGUCAGUAUCAUGUAUUGUUUACAGGCAGGUUGGUAAAUGUCUCCUCUCUAUUGUCAGUAUCAUGUAGAGUAUUGUUUACAGGCAGGUUGGUAAAUGUCCCCUCUCUAUUGUCAGUAUCAUGUAGAGAGUAUUGUUUACAGGCAGGUUGGUAAAUGUCCCCUCUCUAUUGUCAGUAUCAUGUAGAGAGUAUUGUUUACAGGCAGGUUGGUAAAUGUCUCCUCUCUAUUGUCAGUAUCAUGUAGAGAGUAUUGUUUACAGGCAGGUUGGUAAAUGUCUUCUCUCUAUUGUCAGUAUCAUGUAUUGUUUACAGGCAGGUUGGUAAAUGUCUCCUCUCUAUUGUCAGUAUCAUGUAGAGUAUUGUUUACAGGCAGGUUGGUAAAUGUCCCCUCUCUAUUGUCAGUAUCAUGUAGAGAGUAUUGUUUACAGGCAGGCUGGUAAAUGUCUCCUCUCUAUUGUCAGUAUCAUGUAGAGAGUAUUGUUUACAGGCAGGUUGGUAAAUGUCUUCUCUCUAUUGUCAGUAUCAUGUAUUGUUUACAGGCAGGUUGGUAAAUGUCUCCUCUCUAUUGUCAGUAUCAUGUAGAGAGUAUUGUUUACAGGCAGGUUGGUAAAUGUCUCCUCUCUAUUGUCAGUAUCAUGUAGAGUAUUGUUUACAGGCAGGUUGGUAAAUGUCCCCUCUCUAUUGUCAGUAUCAUGUAGAGAGUAUUGUUUACAGGCAGGUUGGUAAAUGUCUCCUCUCUAUUGUCAGUAUCAUGUAGAGAGUAUUGUUUACAGGCAGGUUGGUAAAUGUCUUCUCUCUAUUGUCAGUAUCAUGUAUUGUUUACAGGCAGGUUGGUAAAUGUCCCCUCUCUAUUGUCAGUAUCAUGUAGAGAGUAUUGUUUACAGGCAGGUUGGUAAAUGUCCCCUCUCUAUUGUCAGUAUCAUGUAGAGAGUAUUGUUUACAGGCAGGUUGGUAAAUGUCUCCUCUCUAUUGUCAGUAUCAUGUAUUGUUUACAGGCAGGUUGGUAAAUGUCUUCUCUCUAUUGUCAGUAUCAUGUAUUGUUUACAGGCAGGUUGGUAAAUGUCUCCUCUCUAUUGUCAAUAUCAUGUAGAGUAUUGUUUACAGGCAGGUUGGUAAAUGUCUCCUCUCUAUUGUCAAUAUCGUGUAGAGUAUUGUUUACAGGCAGGUUGGUAAAUGUCUCCUCUCUAUUGUCAAUAUCGUGUAGAGUAUUGUUUACAGGCAGGUUGGUAAAUGUCUCCUCUCUAUUGUCAGUAUCAUGUAGAGUAUUGUUUACAGGCAGGUUGGUAAAUGUCUCCUCUCUAUUGUCAGUAUCAUGUAGAGUAUUGUUUACAGGCAGGUUGGUAAAUGUCCCCUCUCUAUUGUCAGUAUCAUGUAUUGUUUACAGGCAGGUUGGUAAAUGUCUCCUCUCUAUUGUCAGUAUCAUGUGAAGUAUUGUUUACAGGCAGGUUGGUAAAUGUCUCCUCUCUAUUGUCAGUAUCAUGUAGAGUAUUGUUUACAGGCAGGUUGGUAAAUGUCUCCUCUCUAUUGUCAGUAUCAUGUAGAGUAUUGUUUACAGGCAGGUUGGUAAAUGUCUCCUCUCUAUUGUCAGUAUCAUGUAUUGUUUACAGGCAGGUUGGUAAAUGUCUCCUCUCUAUUGUCAGUAUCAUGUGAAGUAUUGUUUACAGGCAGGUUGGUAAAUGUCUCCUCUCUAUUGUCAGUAUCAUGUAGAGUAUUGUUUACAGGCAGGUUGGUAAAUGUCUCCUCUCUAUUGUCAGUAUCAUGUAGAGAGUAUUGUUUACAGGCAGGUUGGUAAAUGUCUCCUCUCUAUUGUCAGUAUCAUGUAGAGUAUUGUUUACAGCAGUAAGCGGCCAUUGUGCCAUCAGUGCCCUAGUAGAGGCAAUUUAGGACGAUUCUGAGUUGGCCAGAUGUUUAUCUAUAUUGAUCAUCCAGCACUUUUCCAUACACAGUCAUACUUCUAUUAAAUGACCAACCUUUUGAGACCACUAUACUUUUGGAUGACUUAUUCUUUUCACUAAAAUCAUGUAAAUGGAUUUCUCUAUUAUGUGGCCAACCUAUUAUGCAGCAACCACUUAUCCUGGUCCAUGGGGAGGUGGCUUAAUGGUGAAGUAAAAGUGCCAACUGAAAGCCUGUUUUAUUCAUAUUUUUUUUCA